UACAGAGAGUGCAAGCGUUAAUCGGAAUUACUGGGCGUAAAGCGCACGUAGGUGGAUAUUUAAGUCGAAUGUGAAAACCCUGGGCUUAACCUAGGAAUUGCAUCCGAUACUGGGUAUCUAGAGUAUGGUAGAGGGAAGUGGAAUUUCCGGUGUAGCGGUGAAAUGCGUAGAUAUCGGAAAGAACACCAGUGGCGAAGGCGACUUCCUGGACCAAUACUGACACUGAGGUGCGAAAGCGUGGGGAGCAAACAGG
RNAcentral lists this ribosomal RNA (253 nucleotides) under uncultured bacterium. RNAcentral's name for it is "partial 16S ribosomal RNA". It matches the Rfam family "Bacterial small subunit ribosomal RNA", at positions 524 to 776 of the family's 1533-position model. The record is from RNAcentral.